RNAcentral lists this ribosomal RNA (830 nucleotides) under Wollea vaginicola RPAN14. Its description in RNAcentral is "bacterial SSU rRNA". It matches the Rfam family "Bacterial small subunit ribosomal RNA", at positions 284 to 1189 of the family's 1533-position model. The record is from RNAcentral. Lineage: Bacteria; Bacillati; Cyanobacteriota; Cyanophyceae; Nostocales; Nostocaceae.
CCUAGCUAUUACUUCUCCACAUGGUGACAAAAACCACCAACGCUCAAGAAUACAAACAAGAAUGCUGNACUAAUAAAAACGCCCCCCCUUUCCNAAAACCCCCCAGCGUGGGGAAUCUUCCGCAAUGGGCGAAAGCCUGACGGAGCAAUACCGCGUGAGGGAGGAAGGCUUNUGGGUUGUAAACCUCUUUUCUCAAGGAAUAAUGCAAUGAAGGUACUUGAGGAAUCAGCAUCGGCUAACUCCGUGCCAGCAGCCGCGGUAAUACGGAGGAUGCAAGCGUUAUCCGGAAUGAUUGGGCGUAAAGCGUCCGCAGGUGGCAGUGUAAGUCUGUUGUUAAAGAGCAAAGCUCAACUUUGUAAAGGCAGUGGAAACUACACAGCUAGAGUACGUUCGGGGCAGAGGGAAUUCCUGGUGUAGCGGUGAAAUGCGUAGAGAUCAGGAAGAACACCGGUGGCGAAAGCGCUCUGCUAGGCCGUAACUGACACUGAGGGACGAAAGCUAGGGGAGCGAAUGGGAUUAGAUACCCCAGUAGUCCUAGCCGUAAACGAUGGAUACUAGGCGUUGCUUGUAUCGACCCGAGCAGUGCCGUAGCUAACGCGUUAAGUAUCCCGCCUGGGGAGUACGCACGCAAGUGUGAAACUCAAAGGAAUUGACGGGGGCCCGCACAAGCGGUGGAGUAUGUGGUUUAAUUCGAUGCAACGCGAAGAACCUUACCAGGACUUGACAUGUCGCGAAUCUGCCUGAAAGGGGAGAGUGCCUUCGGGAGCGCGAACACAGGUGGUGCAUGGCUGUCGUCAAGCUCUUGUCAUAGUCUGAGUAUCCCCGACAGG